GGGGAUCUAGCUCAGUGGUAGAGCGCUUGCCUAGGAAGCGCAAGGCCCUGGGUUCGAUCCCCAGCUCCG
RNAcentral lists this transfer RNA (69 nucleotides) under Rattus norvegicus (Norway rat). It matches the Rfam family "tRNA". Rfam says of the family: Transfer RNA (tRNA) molecules are approximately 80 nucleotides in length. The record is from Rfam by way of RNAcentral. Lineage: Eukaryota; Metazoa; Chordata; Mammalia; Rodentia; Muridae.